Molecule: long non-coding RNA, 799 nt
Organism: Orcinus orca (killer whale)
Lineage: Eukaryota; Metazoa; Chordata; Mammalia; Artiodactyla; Delphinidae
Exons: 2
Source: RefSeq, a predicted model, not a curated record
CGGAGCGGGGGCGGGGAGAGGUUGGCGGGGGCGCAUGCGUGUGAGCACGCAGCACGUCUGUGGGCGGCACUGCAGCCUGCAGAACCAGAAGCCUUGCUGUGGGAUGGGCUCUCUUCUGCCUCUGUCCCCCUCUGGCAGGAGCAAGGUGCUGAGGCUCUUCGCUGGGUUCACAGACGAGCUGGCUGGGGCUUGGACGUGCUGUGUGGCUUCCUAGUGACAGGGGGCAGCUGGCCGCUGAGCGCUCCGGAGGUGCGUCCUCCCAGGUAACCUCCGCUCCGUCUCGCAUCUUAGGUAUGACGGUUGUCUGCAUUUACGUUCCAGGGGACUGAGGCUGGCAGAGCAAGCGGCUCACUGACUGUAUUUAUGGCACAGGCCAGAAGGAGCAUCCCUGUUCUGUCCCUCGCCUGGCCAAGCAGUCACGUCACGGGCGCCCGGUCCCUGCGUGUCCGUGGGGCCAGGCUCUCUGGAGAGGCAGGUGUUCGUCCUGCAGCGUGAGGCCCGGCCGCUGGUGUGGACGCCUCCCGGAGUCCCCUCCCCUUCCAGCGCCUGCGCAGCCAUCAUGGAAGACGGGAGCGGGCCGGGCAGCCCCAGCGCCGUGUCCCUGGUUCCCAUGAUGCCGUCCCCAGCCCCGAGUACACGAUGGUCUCGGUCUUCCUCGUUCCUUGUGUGCGUCGUGGGCAUUGUGGGCAACGCCAUGGUGGUGCUGACCACACGGGACGUGCACACGCCCACCAACUGCUCCCUGGUCAGCCUGGCCCGGGCAGACCUUACUGUGCUGGUGGCUGCCGGGCUGCCCACC